GACAGAGGGUGCAAACGUUGUUCGGAUUUACUGGGCGUAAAGCGCGUGUAGGCGGCUUGGCAAGUCGGAUGUGAAAGCCCACGGCUCAACUGGGGGGUGUCGUGCGAUACGGGCGAACUGGAGGCCAGUAGGGGGAUGCGGAAUUCCGGGUGUAGUGGUGGAAUGCGUAGAGAUCCGGAGGAACACCAGCGGCGAAGGCGGCAUCCUGGACUGGUCCUGACACUCAGGAGCGAAAGCGUGGGGAGCGAUCCGG
RNAcentral lists this ribosomal RNA (253 nucleotides) under uncultured bacterium. Its description in RNAcentral is "partial 16S ribosomal RNA". It matches the Rfam family "Bacterial small subunit ribosomal RNA", at positions 524 to 776 of the family's 1533-position model. The record is from RNAcentral.